RNAcentral lists this ribosomal RNA (1393 nucleotides) under Salmonella enterica. RNAcentral's name for it is "partial 23S ribosomal RNA". It matches the Rfam family "Bacterial large subunit ribosomal RNA", at positions 582 to 1874 of the family's 2925-position model. RNAcentral also lists the same sequence under 2 other names. Lineage: Bacteria; Pseudomonadati; Pseudomonadota; Gammaproteobacteria; Enterobacterales; Enterobacteriaceae. The record is from RNAcentral.
CCCUUCGGGGUGUGACUGCGUACCUUUUGUAUAAUGGGUCAGCGACUUAUAUUCUGUAGCAAGGUUAACCGUAUAGGGGAGCCGGAGGGAAACCGAGUCUUAACCGGGCGUUAAGUUGCAGGGUAUAGACCCGAAACCCGGUGAUCUAGCCAUGGGCAGGUUGAAGGUUGGGUAACACUAACUGGAGGACCGAACCGACUAAUGUUGAAAAAUUAGCGGAUGACCUGUGGCUGGGGGUGAAAGGCCAAUCAAACCGGGAGAUAGCUGGUUCUCCCCGAAAGCUAUUUAGGUAGCGCCUCGUGAAUUCAUCUCCGGGGGUAGAGCACUGUUUCGGCUAGGGGGCCAUCCCGGCUUACCAACCCGAUGCAAACUGCGAAUACCGGAGAAUGUUAUCACGGGAGACACACGGCGGGUGCUAACGUCCGUCGUGAAGAGGGAAACAACCCAGACCGCCAGCUAAGGUCCCAAAGUCAUGGUUAAGUGGGAAACGAUGUGGGAAGGCCCAGACAGCCAGGAUGUUGGCUUAGAAGCAGCCAUCAUUUAAAGAAAGCGUAAUAGCUCACUGGUCGAGUCGGCCUGCGCGGAAGAUGUAACGGGGCUAAACCAUGCACCGAAGCUGCGGCAGCGAACGUAUCACCCAAGACAACUUUACGGAGUUGACGAUUGACGGAGCGAAGCGACGUCAAAGCGUUCAUUAAAGUCGAGUUGGCUUAGGGAUACGUUCGUUGGGUAGGGGAGCGUUCUGUAAGCCUGUGAAGGUGUGUCGUGAGGCAUGCUGGAGGUAUCAGAAGUGCGAAUGCUGACAUAAGUAACGAUAAAGCGGGUGAAAAGCCCGCUCGCCGGAAGACCAAGGGUUCCUGUCCAACGUUAAUCGGGGCAGGGUGAGUCGACCCCUAAGGCGAGGCCGAAAGGCGUAGUCGAUGGGAAACGGGUUAAUAUUCCCGUACUUGGUGUUACUGCGAAGGGGGGACGGAGAAGGCUAUGUUGGCCGGGCGACGGUUGUCCCGGUUUAAGCGUGUAGGUGUGUGUUCCAGGUAAAUCCGGUUCACUUUAACACUGAGGCGUGACGACGAGGCACUACGGUGCUGAAGCAACAAAUGCCCUGCUUCCAGGAAAAGCCUCUAAGCAUCAGGUAACACGAAAUCGUACCCCAAACCGACACAGGUGGUCAGGUAGAGAAUACCAAGGCGCUUGAGAGAACUCGGGUGAAGGAACUAGGCAAAAUGGUGCCGUAACUUCGGGAGAAGGCACGCUGACACGUAGGUGAAGUGAUUUACUCAUGGAGCUGAAGUCAGUCGAAGAUACCAGCUGGCUGCAACUGUUUAUUAAAAACACAGCACUGUGCAAACACGAAAGUGGACGUAUACGGUGUGACGCCUGCCCGGUGCCGGAA